Molecule: signal recognition particle RNA, 100 nt
Filed under: Chloroflexota bacterium
Lineage: Bacteria; Bacillati; Chloroflexota
Also listed under: 1 other name
Description: Chloroflexi bacterium signal recognition particle sRNA small type
Rfam family: Bacterial small signal recognition particle RNA
About the family: The signal recognition particle (SRP) is a universally conserved ribonucleoprotein involved in the co-translational targeting of proteins to membranes. Archaeal SRP consists of a 7S RNA and homologues of the eukaryotic SRP19 and SRP54 proteins. In most bacteria, the SRP consists of a 4.5S RNA and the Ffh protein (a homologue of the eukaryotic SRP54 protein).
Source: RNAcentral
UUUCAGGUCCGACGCAGCAAAAACCCGUAAACCCCGCCAGGACCGGAAGGUAGCAACGGUAAGCGGUCAUUUUUGGGUGACGCCGGUGCGCCUGAAGAGA